UACGAAGGGGGCUAGCGUUGCUCGGAAUCACUGGGCGUAAAGCGCACGUAGGCGGGUCCUUAAGUCAGGGGUGAAAUCCCGGAGCUCAACUCCGGAACUGCCUUUGAUACUGGGGAUCUUGAGUCCGGAAGAGGUGAGUGGAACUCCGAGUGUAGAGGUGAAAUUCGUAGAUAUUCGGAAGAACACCAGUGGCGAAGGCGAGUUCCUGGACAGUUACUGACGCUGAGGCACGAAGGCCAGGGGAGCAAACGGG
This 253-nucleotide ribosomal RNA is filed under the name uncultured bacterium. RNAcentral describes it as "partial 16S ribosomal RNA". It matches the Rfam family "Bacterial small subunit ribosomal RNA", at positions 524 to 776 of the family's 1533-position model. The record is from RNAcentral.